UACGGAGGGAGCUAGCGUUGUUCGGAAUUACUGGGCGUAAAGCGUGCGCAGGCGGUUAUGUAAGACAGGUGUGAAAUCCCCGGGCUUAACCUGGGAACUGCAUUUGUGACUGCAUAGCUAGAGUACGGUAGAGGGGGAUGGAAUUCCGCGUGUAGCAGUGAAAUGCGUAGAUAUGCGGAGGAACACCGAUGGCGAAGGCAAUCCCCUGGACCUGUACUGACGCUCAUGCACGAAAGCGUGGGGAGCAAACAGG
Molecule: ribosomal RNA, 253 nt
Filed under: uncultured bacterium
Lineage: Bacteria
Description: partial 16S ribosomal RNA
Rfam family: Bacterial small subunit ribosomal RNA
Source: RNAcentral